Molecule: RNA transcript, 7861 nt
Organism: Eriocheir sinensis (Chinese mitten crab)
Lineage: Eukaryota; Metazoa; Arthropoda; Malacostraca; Decapoda; Varunidae
Exons: 38
Source: RefSeq, a predicted model, not a curated record
CGGCGGUGUGUGGGUGGGGGAGUGGCCGCCCACCGCCUGGCAUGGCGUGUCGCUGCCCGCCACCGCGGCGACAGGCCUGCCGGGGGUGGCGUGCGGCAAGGGCAGGCUGCUGACGCCCCCGUGACAAGAGGAGACACGCAUGGAGGCACGCCGCGGGAGAUGCACCAUGCCGGUGGCAGGCGGCAGAGCACAGAAAAGGGUCAAUGAGAGGACCACCAACCACAACCUGGACCCCGGCAGCCUCCAGCACCACCGCGAUGUCCUGCAGGAGGUGGCCGGCUGGCACAUGGAGGACUGGGAGGAGCUUGAGGCACUGCUGGAGACUGAACACCUUAUCCUGGGCCAGCCAUAUCAGCCCCAGCAGCACCAGCAGCAGCAACAUCAUCGCUCGGACAUCAACCUCCUCCAGAGUCCAGAGCGCACCCCACGGCUGCCCCACGAAGCACCACCCUCCCGCAGCAGUUCUCGGCGCUCCCUCCCACGCACACACGGCGCCUACUCUCUCCCCCUUCAGCAGCUGUCCUCCAUCCUCCUCAACAUGACCUUCUCGGACGCUGAGGAUGAGCACCAGGGGACGGGACGGAACACAAGCAACAGCCAGGACCGAUCCCUGAGCCGCUCCCGCACAGAGUCGGGGGUGAGCAACGCCUCCACCGUCUCCCUGGCCAGCCCCUCCUCCUCUGCCGGGCCUGCCGCUGCUGCCAAUGGGCCCAUGGCUGCCUCGGGGAGUGCCGCCGGGGCCCUGGACAUUGCUGCCGCCCAAAAUGCCUCGGUAGUUGAUGUUUCAGGCGUUGACAAGAAGAAGAUUGUGGAGAAGCUGCAGCAGAUCCAGGGCUACAUACAGCAGACCACAGCAGCCAUGGCAGCCCUAGAGCAGCAGGGAGACAUUGGCUUGCAAAGUGAUAUAUAUGCUCGCUAUGUCAACCUCAACAAGUCGCUUCAGCACCAGGAGGAGGAGUACCUGGACAUUCUCGCUCGCUCCCUAGUCCUUAACAAGGCUGCAGCACAGGUGGCCAACGGAACACAGCACCCAAGCACAGCACCAAGCAGCGUCUCCCCAGCAUCAGCACAAGUCAACGGCCGCGAAGAGACGGCCCCAGAGGAAGGCAGCCGCGUGGUGGGUGUGGUCGGCUCAGAGAACGUUCGCACGCUACAGGACCGCCUCUCGGCCAGUCAGGAGGAGUCUGUGGCCAUCAUGAGCCAGAUGAGGGCCAGCAUAGCACGCCGCGAGGACCUCCUGACACGAUAUAAGGCCACCCAGGAGCGCCUUGCCAACCUUAAGCGGCAGAGGCAGGGUAUUCAGGAGGAGAAGCAGCGCCUCAUCCAGCAGGGGGCCAAUCCCAACGGUGCCGGGCAGGAGGACGAGGACCCCAUCCCUGGCGCCGACACCUGGACCCUCUCGGAGCUGACGAAGGCGCUGGUGGACUUCCAGGCUCUGCAGGACAAGGUGGAGCGACUGACGGCUGUGUACUCGACCAGGGCCCAGGGUGUGGAUCCUGAUGACGCGGAAAGCCAGGCGGACGUGGCCAGCAAACUCGGCCAGCUGGCAACCAAGAGGCGGCAGCUGGCGGACGUGCUCACCAGACUCAAGGGCUACCAGGCUCUUAGGCAGCAGGAGGAGAGAGAUGGCCUGGAUGGUGUGGGUGGCAGUGGGCGCUCCACCUCCACUGCUCCAGCCGGUGCUUCGGACGCUAACCACCUCCCAGCCUCCUCCAACACCCACACCACAACGACAAGCGACGAACCAGCACCUCCACCACCUCCACCACCUCCCUCUGCCUCACUCUCGGCCUCCGUGUCCAACAUCAACGGGGAGGGACAUCCAGUUAGCCCGGCCAGCCUGAGGGAGGCGGCGAACUCGGUAACCCAGGCCUCGGAGGAGCUGGUGAACCGCAAGGCACAGCUCAACUCUCUCCAGAAGCAGCUGAGCGACAUGAAGAAGCUCCUCGAUGUGGCUAACAAGGCCCGACAGGAGUUCGGGGAUGACGGCGCCGGUGCCCUUCCCUCCACCAGUGCCGCCGCUGACGUGCCCACUGAGAUCCUGGAGGUGUCGGGCAAGAGGAUUGUCCUGACGGAGGCUGAGAGACAGAACCCAGAGAUUGCUUCAAAGUAUAGUCAGCUAUCCCGGGCCAAGGAUCGUCUGGCCAAGAUGGAGGAAAUAAUAGCCAUGAUCAGCCAGGCAAGACACACCGGCCAGAACCUGCGUGACGUCAUCCCCCCGGACUACCUGGCCAUCCUGGAGGAGGCGGAGAACAACCCACAGGCGGAGUUUGCAGCUGAGUCAGGCGGCCCCGGUCCCCUCAGCCGCGCCUCAGCUCCCCUGCAGAGGCCCCUGGAGGUUGAGGAGGAGGAGGUAGGCAGGCUCUCAAGGCGCCCCACUCGUCCCCCACGCAUGGGCAGCAUGGGGCGGGGUGAGGCUGGGGCCGGGGCAGGAGCAGGUCGGGACUCACAGGUACGGGAACAGGAGAGCCGGGAGAUCUCGGCCAUGCAGCAGCGCCUCAACAAGAACAGCACGAGGGUGUCCGCCAUCAACGAGGGCUCGCAACACGGACAUGAGAAGGGCGCCAUCAAGAAGCAGCCCCAGGCACUAUGGCAGGGCAGCAGCAGCGGCGGCGGCGGCGGGGUUGCCAGCAGCGGGGUGGGCGGGGUGAGGGAGGACCCACGUCUCGCCCAGGUGUUGGCCAUGCAGGAAGAGCUGCGUCAGAAGAAGAACGCCCUGGAGGCCCUCAUGAGGCGCAUGGGCAAGUCCUCCUCCCUCAACAUGGACAACAUAUCCGACAACAUCUCCGACAAUGUCUCCGAGGCAUCCGACCGCCUGGGGGACGUGCGCGGCAGUGGGGGGGCGGCCACCUGGGGGGAGGCUGGGGGGCUGCACCACUUCUCCGAUAACCACUAUCAGCAGUCCAGUGACGAGGACUUGAUAGACGAGGAUGAGGCGGACCUUCCCCCCCGAGGCAGCCAGCUCCGCCCUCAGCAGCCGCCACCCAUCGCAGUCUCCCCCAAGGACCGCAACCGCCACUCCACCAGCCGCCACCGCCGCCGCCAGGACUCGGGGCGCCUCUCGGUGAACAACCUGACGGCCGCGACCCUCCCCACCCCCGCCAGGACCAAGCACAACCGCCUUAGGGCCAGCAGUGCUCCCAAGGCCCUGUGGGAGUCUGUGGGCACUCCGCUAGAUGGCAGCAACUAUAAGUCUCCCUCCAACACCACCAUGCAGACCCAGCACAGCCUCAAUGCUGCACUCAGCCAGCUCACCCAGGUGCAAGGAACCAUCAACAACCUGCAGGAGAGUCUUCGCCACGAGCAGAGUCAGGUGCUGGGGAGCUCCCGGGCGUCCCUCUACCAGCCCCAGCUCGUGCCGCCCCUCCUGCCCGACCUCACCCCCACCUCGCUGCCCCCCAUGGUGACCCCCAGCCAGGCCCUCACCCCCAUGUCUGCCUACGCUGGCCUUGGCUCCCUCGCCCUUGCUGCUCAGGGUGGCGGCGAGGCAGUGAACCAGCAGCUGUUGUCGGGCCUGCAGCAGUGCUUCUCCCAGCUCCACCUACACUCCCUUGAGAUACAGGCCCUGAGCAAGCAUCUGCAGCUUCUGGAGAGGCGAGACCAGACCAGCUCGGCCGCCAUGGCUGAUGUGGGGGACGGCCUUGGGAGGGGCGGGCGGGGCGGCGCACGGAGGAGUGAAGAGGAAGAGGAGGAGGAGGACAAUGAGGAUGAUGAUGUGGCAGGAGACCCCCGCCCUCCUUACCCUCUCCACCACAACCUCUUGGCUGCGGCCGGCCUGCGCCCUGGGAAGGAGGGGGGCUCUAGCCGGGCACCCCAGGGCUCCGCCUACCCCGUAUACCUGAGGCAGCAGUCCGAGAGUGGCGCUCCCUCCUCAGGCGUCACCAACCCCAUUUAUGGCCACCUGGGGGACCUGCGAGACCAGACUGGGGGCACCUGGGGCUCCCUUGCUCCUACCCCAGGCACAGAGCAGCCCACAGACACCCUGGGCUCGCUCCUAGGCCCAGGUGCCCCAGGGGAGGCUCUGGAGGGCAGCUCAUCACACCCAUUGCUGCAUCUGGGCCGUAUGGGGGAGGAGGCCAGCCAGACACAGGCCCCUGAGGCACACCACUGGGCCUCCCUCGCCUCCACACACCCACUGCACCACCAGACCACAGACCUGCUCAACAACCAGGUUCCUCCAGGCACACGCGCCAACAACUACUGGGACAACUUCCGCAGUUACUCCCGCCAGAACCUGCUCUCCACGGCCACCAAGAGCAACACCAGCGACCUCCACCCCCCCUCCACCACCUCCACCUCGGCCCCUGCCCACACCGCCUCCUUCGCCCUCCACCAGGGUCGGGAGGGUGGCCGAGGCGAGGACAAGCGUUUCAACGUCUCGCUGGGCCACAACAACACCAACAGCGGGGCCGGUGCCAGAUCCAGGAUGCCCAACCCCCACAUCAACAACCCCAGAGGUGCCGCCAACCCCCGUGUGAGGAACCCUGUGGCCGCCAGCUCCCAGCACCUCCUCAGCCAGAACAAACACAAGGCAAACAACAGGAACAAGCAAGGUGACUUAUGGGUGACCUCCAAGGGCAGCGAGAGGAACCUGCCGCCCCAAGACCGAGGCUCAGGGGGCAGGAACCUGGGUGGUUACCUCAACUACAACACUGUGCGCGCCAACACCAGCGACAGUGAUGGUGCUGAGGGAAGCGGUGUGACCCUGGAGGUGCUGCGUGAGGCCGAGGCGCUGAUCCGCCGCCAUGCCAACCAGCCAGAGUUCCUGCUGCAGCUGUUCCGCCACGCCUCGCAGAUCACUGUGCACACCGACCAGCACGUGGCCGUGGCGCUCCUGCACGACCUUGCCUCCCAGCCACACCGACCCGGCAGCCAUGGAGUGAAUGCCAACCCUGGGCCGGGUGUCCACGGCCAUGCCGAGGGGACUGUUGGCCUCUCCCUGCCAGCCCCCCUCAGAGACUCGUGGAGGCCCCAGCCCCCACGCAGUCACCCCCAGAACACCCUCCCACAGGACAAUGUGAGUGUGGUGGGGCUGUCAGGGUCAGAGGUCAGCGAUAGUGGCCUGACCUCAGAGGACGAGGACAGCAGGGCUCUUUAUCGCAACGUCAAGAACCUCAGUCUCAGCCCAGGGGGAGCAGUACCCCCCCCUGCACCUCCGGGAGGCGUGAACACAGGUGGCAGGCCCCCGUACCCCCAACCACCACCGCCCCUCCACCCCCACUACCAACACAACUACCAUGAAUUCCCCCACCACCGCCAGCACAACCUCGUCCACCCCCACAACACACAGGGAGGGGAGAGCGCCCGCAGCGGUGCCAAUUCUGAGAGUUCUCUGUAUGAUCAUCUGGUGUUUAACGACUCCCACCUGGCCACUAGACAAGAGGUGGUGGAGGACUGGGUGCGGCGAGGGGUGGAGGAGGAGGAAGAGGAGGACGAGGCAGGGCCCAGCAAGCUUCUGAACCAGGCGGACACAGCAGGAUCUUCCCCCGAGGACGCCCACAACCUCAUCCAUCCACUAAACAACGACACUGAGUACCUCACCUUUGAGACUCUGGUGGCCUCCGCCGUGAGGGAGGGCACGGAGGUACUGCAGGCCCAGGCGUGUGAAGACGUUGCCUCCCCGCUUCUGCUGAAUUCCCUCCACCACAGCCUAGUGGCCCACAUCCAGACCCGAGCCCAGUCCCUGCGGCUGCCCCAGACCUUCCUCUACUCCACCGACACUGAACUCAAGUCUGCCCUCCAAGCCUUCUCUGGCAAACCGCUGUCCCAGGUGAGCAGCGACGUGCCGUCACUCAUCUCCCAGGUGCUGCUGACCCAGUACUGCUCGGUGCUGGUGCAGCGUCUGCGCGACAACCAGCCGCUGCUGCCUCAGACGCCCACCAAGCUGCCGCCCGGUGCCCCGCCCAAGGCUGGUGAGGUGGGUCUGGAGGGUGCCGCUGCCACCCCCACAGCUGGCCCCCCAGAGUGCCGCCCCCCCCAGGAGGCCACCACAGCUACCCAGACUGAAGCCGGAGUGUUCUCCCUCCACCCCCAGAGGCCGCCCCUCCACACCUUCAGCCUCACCACCGGGGCUGCUGCCGCCCACCCACCCCCAUCAGCCUCCCUGUCAGCUACCACCCCUGCUGACAGUCCCUGGCAGGCCCCUCCACCCCCCCCUGCCCCCCUGCCCUCCCCCAACCACAACCCUAGUGGAGGGGAGUCCCUGGCAGAGAGUGCAGCCUGCGCCGGUGGGCCUCUCCCUACUGCCCCGUCUGGCUCCUGGAGUGCCGAGGGCUUGGCCUCCCCUGCCUCACCCCUGGGGGCUGGCCGGGGAGAGGCAGAGCAGGAGGAGGCCAUGAUGGAUGAGCUGGGUGAGCCAACACUGGUCCACACACUGGCUGAGGCUGACCAGUCCCAGGACGCAGUGGAGGGUGACUGGGGUGAGGACUCCCAGGCGGAGGGCAUCAUGCAGCCUGAGGUCAGUGGGGGGGCAGUGGGCGGGUCCUCCCACACCCACUCCCCACCCCAACACCCUGGAUGGCUGCCGGCAAGGGAACGACACAACUCCUCGCAGCUGGAAGCAGAGGCGGAGGUGGAGGGACUGGUGGAGAGUGAGGCGGAGGCGGCUGCUCUCGGGGCCGGCCACCUCCUCUUCAUGGACCAGCAGAGUCAGGAGCUGGACGAGGUGCCCACCAAGCUACAGAGUCCCCAGGGUGGCUCUCCUAGUGACAGCCCCGAGCAGGCCCUUCCCCAGCAGCACCACCCCCACCACCCCCAGCGCCCUCAUUCACCCGCUGGUCAGUGAGAGUGAGGGACGGGUGGGUGAAGGAGGAGAGAGAGGGUGAACUUAAAGCUUAGAUCGUUGGAGCGAAGGGUGACUGAAACAGGCCCGUAGCUGCUCCUUCUCACGCUGUCGAAGGAAGAAGCAGAGGAGAAGGCAGUGGCAACCCGUGGAAGGCAAGAAACUUCCAAGCAUAACUGAGGAGCCCUAUAAAGGGUUGCACAGAGACACAUUGGUAUUUGAGGACGACGAGGAGUUAAGUGACGAGGGGCUGCAGGAACAACAGGCAUGUGUGGUGAGCAGCCCAGUACUCAUGCUGGGCUCCUGUUUGGUGAGCUUCUUCACUCUUUUCAUGUGCAAGAUGAGAUACAAUCAACCCACAACCCAACACUGAAGGCCAGAAUCAACCUCACCAGCCACUCAACCAGCCAGGUCAACAGGCAAAACAUGUAUGAGAAGCACUGUUAUGAUUUUGUGGGUCAACCAGGUAUGCACAUUCCACGCCAGCUGUUAGGUGAUUCAUGUUACACCAUCACAGAAGGAGUUUGGCUGAGCUGAAUAGAGAAGUAAGAUCACCCCUUCCCUGAGUCAACAUUGAGGUAUACUAUUUGUGUAUCGAAUAUUCUUAGCAACAAUUCUAUCGCUGUUAGGAAAUCCCUCUGCCAAAUGUUACGUGUAGGAUUUGUUGUUCAGUGUUACCAGCCAGUCCACACGGCCGGCAUGCCUCGCACAGGGUGUCUGUAUGGGGCGUCUUGUGUGAGCAUGGUGACGGUGUGGACGGCAAACCUGCAUCUGCUCAAACAACACUGUGGACGGUUUCUUCCUCUGGGGUCUGUUGGGUGUUCCGGGAGCUGGGAACGCUGCGCCACAGACCAAGCGAUCCAUGACAAUCAGACCUUACCACUAAAAAUUUUCAACAUGUUCUCUGUGUCGGGUUAUGUAUUGUCUGUGUGUGAUGACUGUGCCAAGGAGGAGCCGAGGGUUCAGUCCGACGAGUUUAAUGCUUUCUGAGUACAGUUAAAGUAUUAUCAAUGUACUAUUCCGUCUUACCAGUUCAACUAUAUAAUGCUUAAAGGUUUAUAUUAUUAAAUGUCUACACUG